RNAcentral lists this ribosomal RNA (253 nucleotides) under uncultured bacterium. RNAcentral's name for it is "partial 16S ribosomal RNA". It matches the Rfam family "Bacterial small subunit ribosomal RNA", at positions 524 to 776 of the family's 1533-position model. The record is from RNAcentral.
UACGGGGGGGGCAAGCGUUGUUCGGAAUUACUGGGCGUAAAGGGCUCGUAGGCGGCCAACUAAGUCACACGUGAAAUCCCUCGGCUCAACCGGGGAACUGCGUGUGGGACUGGAUGGCUUGAGUUUGGGAGAGGAAUGCGGAAUUCCAGGUGUAGCGGUGAAAUGCGUAGAUAUCUGGAGGAACACCGGUGGCGAAGGCGGCAUUCUGGACCAACACUGACGCUGAGGAGCGAAAGCCAGGGGAGCAAACGGG